CGUGCCAGCAGCCGCGGUAAGACGAACCGUGCGAACGUUGUUCGGAAUCAUUGGGCUUAAAGGGCGCGUAGGCGGGACCAACAAGUCCGGGGUGAAAUACUCUAGCUCAACUAGAGAACUGCCCCGGAUACUGUGGGUCUCGAGGAAGGUAGGGGCAUGCGGAACGGGUGGUGGAGCGGUGAAAUGCGUUGAUAUCACUCGGAACUCCGGUGGCGAAGGCGGCGUGCUGGACCUUUUCUGACGCUGAGGCGCGAAAGCCAGGGGAGCGAACGGGAUUAGAUACCCCGGUAGUCCUGGCCCUAAACGUUGAGAACUAGGUAGUAGACUAGACAUGGGGUUUACUGCCGAAGCUAAAGUGCUAAGUUCUCCGCCUGGGGAGUAUGGUCGCAAGGCUGAAACUCAAAGAAAUUGACGGGGGCUCACACAAGCGGUGGAGCAUGUGGC
This 444-nucleotide ribosomal RNA is filed under the name uncultured bacterium. Its description in RNAcentral is "bacterial SSU rRNA". It matches the Rfam family "Bacterial small subunit ribosomal RNA", at positions 504 to 945 of the family's 1533-position model. The record is from RNAcentral.